RNAcentral lists this transfer RNA (69 nucleotides) under Rattus norvegicus (Norway rat). It matches the Rfam family "tRNA". Rfam says of the family: Transfer RNA (tRNA) molecules are approximately 80 nucleotides in length. Their secondary structure includes four short double-helical elements and three loops (D, anti-codon, and T loops). Lineage: Eukaryota; Metazoa; Chordata; Mammalia; Rodentia; Muridae. The record is from Rfam by way of RNAcentral.
GGGGAUUUAGCUCAGUGGUAGAGCGCUUGCCUAGCAAGUACAAGGCCCUGGGUUCGGUUCCCAGCUCUG